Molecule: ribosomal RNA, 465 nt
Filed under: uncultured Klebsiella sp.
Lineage: Bacteria; Pseudomonadati; Pseudomonadota; Gammaproteobacteria; Enterobacterales; Enterobacteriaceae
Description: bacterial SSU rRNA
Rfam family: Bacterial small subunit ribosomal RNA
Source: RNAcentral
CCUACGGGUGGCAGCAGUGGGGAAUAUUGCACAAUGGGCGCAAGCCUGAUGCAGCCAUGCCGCGUGUGUGAAGAAGGCCUUCGGGUUGUAAAGCACUUUCAGCGGGGAGGAAGGCGGUGAGGUUAAUAACCUCAUCGAUUGACGUUACCCGCAGAAGAAGCACCGGCUAACUCCGUGCCAGCAGCCGCGGUAAUACGGAGGGUGCAAGCGUUAAUCGGAAUUACUGGGCGUAAAGCGCACGCAGGCGGUCUGUCAAGUCGGAUGUGAAAUCCCCGGGCUCAACCUGGGAACUGCAUUCGAAACUGGCAGGCUAGAGUCUUGUAGAGGGGGGUAGAAUUCCAGGUGUAGCGGUGAAAUGCGUAGAGAUCUGGAGGAAUACCGGUGGCGAAGGCGGCCCCCUGGACAAAGACUGGCGCUCAGGUGCGAAAGCGUGGGGAGCAAACAGGAUUAGAUACCCGUGUAGUC